GGCUUUACUUUGAGAGGCUGGUGGGCUGUGAGACUACCUUUAUUAGAAUGAAUAACUGUUAUCUCUGGCUUAGUUUGCUCCAGACUGCGCACUGGGUUAUGCCUUGAGCUGCUCUUUAUUUUUUACUACUAAGUACUGGUCGUUGUGUUUCAACCUUAAUUAGGAUGGCAUGCAUGCAUGGUUGUAAACUUGUGCUUUGAUUUUCUCUUAUUUCAUCAACUACCGGCCGCGAUCUUCCAUACCAUUGUAGCUUUGGAAGUUCCAGCAACUUUUGGUCAUAUGGAAAAAUUCUUUCUUGAAAGUUUUUCAUAAUCUCAUAUGGAAACAAACGCUAAGAUCAGAUAUCAACCUUCUAAGUUCAUCCAAGGACAAUGAUGGAUUAACAUGCUGCCAAGCUGCAACGAAAGAAUCAACCCGUUAUCCCACUAUACCUAUGUUGGUACUGGCGCAGUCUACUUUAGGUGAAUGGAAUAUGAUGUAUUUCGAACUGCUGAGAUUCAUGAUGGAGCAUGAAUUAUUUCCCAGUGACCAAUGACAAGAUGCGAUGCCAUAUUUUUCUUGCAGAUAUCUCGAACUUCUAAUAUUUUGGGCUUGCGUUCUGCUUGCCAAGUCCCAACAUGUCCGGCUUAUGGUUGAGAGUAUACUAGAGUUCGGGAUGUGUCAGGUUUGUGGCCGUUCAGUUUAUGUUGUAAAUUUGCUGAAUGCACAUCCAGUUAAUGAAUUGUACUUUUCUCAUGUUUUUCCAUUGAGGGAGCAUCAAUAGGACUAAAGUGUAGUUUUCUUCUUGGCUAGGGAAGGAAGGAUGGAUCAGAGAGAGGAUGGAUUGAUCUUUCAUCUAUCCUCCAAAUGUUUGGGUGAACAUGAAAAGACAGAUGGGAAUGUUUCUGUCCUUUAUUUUGUAUAAAUAAAAUGAAAGAGAGGAUGGAUGAUAUUUAUAUAAUAUUUUUACUAAACUAUCUUUUGAUAAUAAAGAGCGAAAAAAUGUUGAGAUUUUAUCCAGAAAAAAAGGAACAAUUUUGUCAACAUAGAAUCUUUUACAUGCUCCAUCCAUCCUUCCUCUCAUGACCCAAGAUACAUGGGCAAUCCUUUCUUUUCAUCCGUUCUCUCUCUCAUGACCCCAACUAAACACAGAGUAAAUAUGUAAUUUAGAAUGACAGCUUCUAGCAAAGCAAAGAUGAUUGUAUGAGAAGAGUCAUCCAGGUGGUACUUCAGAGUUUGGGUUUAGAAAUUCUUACUGUCCAAGUUUUUGAUGUGCUUUCAUUUGUUAAGGCACAUGAUUAGGUAGCGGUUCCUACUAACUACGAUGAGUGAUAACAGAAUUUAGUCACCAAGUAUUUGCUAACAUGGUAUCACCCUUAUCAUUUGGAUAAGGGGGUGAGGAUUUGAGUUCAUUUGGAAUCCGUUCUCUAGAAUCGAAUGAUAUUUAGACCCUCCUAAUCUUGAAAAAGAAAAGAACAAUGAUAUUUAGCAACUCUAUAAUGUGACCUCAACUUUAAUUUGGUUUUCUUGAUCUAUGGCACAUGUUAUAUUGGACAAUCAAGUGGAAAAGCGUGUACUGAAUAUUUCUAGUGGUUCUAUGUUUCCAUAUUUGUAGAAGAGCACUACUCAGCAGAAACAUACAGAUCGGAAGUUGUGUAGAUAUCGAUCUCGAGUCGAGUUUUAAGCUCGAAUAUUAUGAAUCGAGUUAAACUCGAGUCUCUAACUAUUUGAUUUAACUAAGCUUGAUUGCACCCCAAAAAAAAAUAUGAGAGACUGAUUGAGUUGAAUUUUCUGUUCUUUAUUUGAACUCGAGUAGGUGGAACAAGAUCAAAUCCCUCUCCCAUCCAAAAAAAAAAACAUGGAUGAACGGAGCCCGGCCCCACUUUUUCUAGUCUUCAAAUCCGACAACGGGUUUGGUUCAUCGGAAAUAGUAUAUUUCAAUAAUUUAAAUUUAAAUCAGUAAACUGAAAAUUUUCUUUGUCAUCUCUCAUUUCUAGUGGUCCUACGUUUCCAUGUUUGUAGAAGAGCGCUAUUCGACAGAAACAUACUUAUCCAAAUUUGUGCAGAUGUGGAGCUGGAUAUAUACAAAAUUGUGCUAUAAUUAUUACCCUCAGCUGCACCUCUUGUCGGUGUGAUCCCUGCCCUCUUGGCGCGGGCAUCAAUGGCAUGGACGCAGAUUUGAAAGCUCUUAUUUUAAGCGUCAGGAUAAGGAACAUUGCCUUGCGAUGGUGACAUGCUACCUAGAGAUUGCACCUGGCCUUCUAAUGUGACAGGCUACCAUUAUUAGGACACCAUGGAUUUGCUCAAGCCUGAUCCAUCUGGCCUUCUGAAACAUUAUUAUGCCAUCACUUUUAGCACUUGGUGGAGAAAGUUACGUCUUCAAAACGUUUCUGGUAAGAUUUGAUGGGUUGAAUGUGACCUCCAAAAUGUGAGAGGCAUGCGUGCGGGCACGUUCGUGUUUCAUGAAACCGGCAAGUUGUUAAACGUUGCUUCCACCAAGUGGUUGAUUGCAAUAAAGACGGAACGUUAAUAUUGCUCAAGAUAUUUAUUAGCUAUAUUUAAAAUGAAAGCGUACUGUCACUUCAUAACGUUUCAAAGUUCGUUGCAGCGUAGUACAUUUAUAUUUUUACAUGCAAAUGUUAAAGCGAGCAGUGAAGACGAGAGAAUCGGUCUGUUGAUUUGUUACUCGGUGUUCUAGGCUUUUACUAAAGGACUAGCUUGGUUCCCAAACCAAGAGUCAUAGACUUUAUUGUCAAGUGGAUUUACAAUGGGCGUGCACAUUGGACUCAGCUUGAGCACGUUUCAAGGAAUAUAAUAGCUCAAGCAUGGAUCCCAAGAGCAAAUAUUGAGCUCUAAUCUAAUUAGAUAUUGGCUUUGCUGCACAGAAUGCAAUUGGACUAACUAAAAGGCUAAGGAAUUGGUAAAUUAGAUUACAUUUUAUCGUUAGCUUCCUCUUCUCCAUCCUUCACACGGCAAAAGGAUAAGAGUUUGGACUCAAAUAACAACAUUUCUUUGUAUUUUAUAGUCUAGAAGGUAGAAGGCUGUUGACAGCGGUCAUAAAUUGAGACAGGGAGAGAGAGACGUAGCAUUAACUUUUUUUUUUUCAAAAUGAUCCGUAACUUUUUAUCAAAACGGAAAGUUGCCAUUCUAAAUAAGUCACGAUUUCUAUUCAACUUGCAAAAUUACGGAUAGAAGAAAUUAGACAAACCUAGUUUUAGAUAUAAACUAAAAAAUCAUUACAAUUUUUCAAAUGUAACGAAUCCAGACAAUUCACAGUGUUACGUAUGGUUAGCAUCAGGGCCUCGACCUCAACGGGCAUUCUUAUAUAAAUUUUUGGCCAGUCCCGUGUCCCAAAGGGCAUGGCAAAAUCUAAUCACGUGGAAUGAGACUAAUGACAGUAACCAGUUGAGCUAAUCACGCAACACAUGUCUAGCCAACUGACUAAAAUUAAUCCAACCGACUAAGAUUAAUUAAGUUUUUCCGCAUUUCACUAUCUCCAAUAAAAAAAUCGAAUGGUUGUACGUACCAUCAAAAAAGAAAAAUCCACAUCUUUUUUUUUAUUCUGAUUUUUGGUCACCGGUUCAUCAUGUCAAGUAAGACCUUCGAGGAACACGUUUUAUUUUUUAUUUUUUUUUGAUUGAAAGGGAGUCUAAAAAAAGCCGCCCAGCUUUUAUAAAGAAUCAGAGUUAGGUAGAAUCAUAAUUAGUUUAACUCGUGCUUAUCAUGCAGCGCAAGUUUACUUAACUGCAUUUAUACAAGGACUAAAAUUAAUGUGUCCUGUGCUGUGCUGCUGUGCACGGAACGGCUAUUAAUUAGUUUCCGCAUCUUACUCAUCGUCAACAAAAGCCGGGUGGUAUUACCUCACCUACCUUCAAAUAAAAAAAAAAUUCCGCAUCCUUUUUUAUUUUGAUUUCUCUGCUAUCAAAUAGAGUCCGCCUCCAUACACAGAAGUUGUAACCAGAACAAAGGGCCCUCAUCCAAUGGCGACCCAACUCUCGCUAACCUUGCUCACCUUUUACACCAUGUUCGCUCUCCUUGCCUGGCCCGGCAUGGCGGGCAACGUCCUCUACUCCGAGUCGGGCGGCAAACUCCUUUCCGGCGAGAGCCUCACCUACAGGCAAUACUCUCUGGUCAUGCAGAAGGACUGCAAUCUAGUGGUCUACGAUGGCAACGAGCCCAUCUGGGCCAGCGGCACCUACGGCAAGGGAAGCAACUGCUUCCUCACCCUGGAGUCCAAUGGUGAGCUAAUCAUCCAUGGUUACCCUCUAUUUAUUCCAGUUAGCUCCCCUAUUUGGACUAGCGGCAGCACCUCGGUCGAUGGGAGCUACGUUCUCGUUCUCGAAUACGAUGGGGGCCUUCGUGUUUAUGGCCCGGUGAUAUGGUCGAUCCCCUCCCAAUCUGCCGAACUGAGGAGCGAUGGAUACGGUUGGCCUGCCGUGAACGACUCCGUGCUGUGGACGGGCGACGUCGCGCCCAUCGGAACCACCAUCGUGAACAGCGUCUACAAGUUGGCCUUGGAGGACAACUGCAACUUGACUUUGUCCGACACCAGCACCAAGAGGGUUCUGUGGUACACAAACACGAGCAACAAUCUGCGUGAUUGCUUCGUGACUCUGGGGGCCACCGGAGAGUUCAGUAUCAAGUACAUGGGAGGAGAGACGCUGUGGAGCAGCGGUGUGCAACCACAGUAUGGGGAAUAUGUCCUUGUGCUUUCACCGGAUGCUGAUCUUGACGUCUAUGGCCCGUCGAUUUGGACCGCGGAGAAGUCCGCGGUGGUGGCAGUGGCGGCGACUGCCGGUGACUCGGUUCCGAGUGGGGAGAAGAUCGUGAUGGUGAGCAAGGAGUGAGGGAGAGGCUCCUCUGGGGGAGAAAUAAUGCAGUCCUGUAUUAAAUAAACUAGGUGUGGUAUCCUUGUGUCGUGUUUCGAGGUUAACUUAUGCUGUGUAAUCCGGUGCUUGUGCUAUCUGCAUGCAUGCAAGGUGUUGUGCCUUUGAUCUUCCUGACAAUCUGAUGACAAAAGUGCGUAGGUACCCGCUAUGUAUGGCAAAGGUGUUACCACCUAUUUCUUACGGAUAUUUGGGCAAUAGUGAGAGGUGGAUGGUUAUGCAGACUAAGUAUGUAUAUUGCGAGGCCAACGGGCAGCAUAUCGGGUAGCAUCUUAUAUGGCUAAUCAUUCUGAAAGAUCCUGUAGCUGGGGAAGAGAAGGUUGUUCGGUGCAUUCUGGGACUUGCUAUCCUUUGAUUUCUUUAGAUGUAUUCAUAUCCACUAUGUUUGAUACAUCCGUUUCAGCAAAAAAAAAAAAGUGCAGGUAAAUCAAGCUUGCAGAAACUGAGGAAAUGAAAUCCGGUAUGAUCUAGUUUAAAAUUCUGGCGUAAAUCCAGUUAGAACUCUUCACUUCUGGAUGUUGUCUCAACCUAGGUGAAUAAAUGUUGCAUUUGAGUCGAAAGCUGUACUUGAACUCGAUGUGACUAGAUAUGAUCGAUCCCGGAUUCCCGGCCGACUGAUUUAGCCUGGCAUCAUGCUUCUCCCGAAACAUGACAUGCGGGCAACCAUCUGGUUCAAUUGCAAAAUGGACGGUCCGAUCAAAAGAGUUUUCAACUAAGAUGCCCUAACCAUAACGCGGGCCCAGUUUGGGGUGGGCAGAUGGACUUCCACCUGGCCCAGUCCUCUACAAAGUGUAGAGGCCCUAAUGGGAUGUCUCUAGUGGACGGGGUCUUACCUAAUUACAAGUGUCCUGUGGACCGCAAUGUUGGUGGUUCGCACUCUCGAAUUAUUUUGCAAACCAAGCCAUUUAUUUAUUCACGGAUUGUAAAGGACGAGCACACCAUCGUCCAUCAUAAGAAUGGCAUCCGAGAGACUUAACUGGGACAACCUGACCCAUCAGCACCCCAAUAUGUACCCUUUAGAGACAGAUCAGGGCAUGGGACCUAUGCAGAACACUGACGUGUCAAUCUCUUCUUGACUGCGUUCACCAAACCCGGGAGCGCAGAAAUUUGCGAAGGAAAUCAUGCCUUAAAUUGGAGGCCAAAAAAUUUUAAACAGACUUUAUUGCAUUUAGACUUGCGGUCCAAGCUUUAAACUCAUGCACCACCUAUCUAGGUCAAUUGGAACAAGAUUACAUCUUCCCCACAUUCAAUAUAAAAUUGGCUCCGUUUACUCCUUGGAGAGAAGGGGUCCAUGCUUGACUUAAGUUCUACUCAACCCUACUAGAUCCUGGUAUUUUUAGUGAAGGACCUAGAUGAUUGAUAGAGUUGUGAAUCACUAGGCUUGGUUCUAAUAUCACCUAUCAUGGAUUUGCUAGCUCAAAAGCUCAAGCUAUCGGAUUGAGGACCGCUUCCAUGUGGGACUACGACAGAGCAAUAUAUCUCAAUAGUAUCUAGUAUGCACAAGGCCCACAAAGAAUUCCCAUCAAUAUAUAGCGAAACAUUUUUGAAAUUACCUUUUUGAUUGAGUAUUGCAAUUUUAUGACCAUUAACAUAUAUUACAAACAUAUGAUGAACUAAUGGUGAACUAUCACCUUUUUCAAAUAAAUAAACAAGUAAAUAAAUAAAUAAAUAAAAUCGUGGGGCUAGGAAUAUAUGGUGAACGCUACUUGUAUACAAUACUAUAGAUUAGUUUUAUUAUUCUGCUUUUUUCUAGCCAAAUAUCAAAAUGUAUAAAUUUAUUGGGACGAAAACUCCAAAUGAAACUCCUUAAUGCAUACGAGGAGAAAAGGGAUGAGAGUACGGACAUGGGAAUAAAGGUGUAUCGUUCCAUUUUCUUUGAUUUUCAAAAAGAGUUUGGAUCCUCUGCAAUGUGCGACUAGCACCGCAGAAUAUAGUACAAUAUGGAUGGCCAUCACAUCAUCUAAUCAAAGAGACGGAUGGCUAUCAAAUAGGGCAGGCAUUGCAUGCCAUACAUGGAAUAUCGCAUGCCAUAUACACACCCUAUUUAUCAGCUCUCCAUUUUCAUGAUUGGACGACAUGGUGGCCAUCCAGCUGUGCCUCACUCUAUAGUGCAAAUCAUGCACCACAGAAGAUUCUUGGUCUUUCUCCAAACCCCUUGCUAGAUUCAGUUCAAACAAAGACGUCAACAAUCCAAGCCUGCAUGUAUGUGUGUAGACAAACUUAUAAGGGUAAAAUUAUAAGUUAAAUAUAUAAUAAAAUGAGGGCAUAUACAUAAAUACUGAUUUUAACUGAUAAAUAUGCAACAGUCCAAGCCUGUAUGUAUGUGUGUAGACAAACACACAUGCAUGUACUUUUACUAUCUAUUUAGAAAGCUCAAGCUUAUAAUUGGGUUUCAUGACUUAGGAACAAGUUCCUUGCAAUUAGGUCCGACAAAUUUAUUCUGUAUUUUGACAUGCGGGCUAUGUACUCAGUAUUUAUUGUUGCAUGGCUGUCCAAACAUUAAGAAGCCCUUCUAUUGUUUAUUCUAGAUUUACUGAUAUGCACGUCGUGAAAUUAAAGAACAAAAUUUAAUAUAUUACAUUGUUACAAUAAUUGUUUAGUACGUUACUAAUUUAUUUAUUUUUGGUACAACAACAGUUCAUACAGCUCGCGUUAGAGUAUGGCCAAUCGAGUCCAAAAAAAGAAAAUGGCAUAAACAAGAAGAGGUACUACAUGACACGUCCAUAGAACCGCUCCGGAGUGUCGAGCAACAAAUGAGCUGACCCAGUCAGUGAUCCGGUUCACUUUCCGAAACACAUGAUCAGCCUGGAAGGAGUCCAAAUCACUCGCCAGUCCGCAAAUGUCACAAAGCAACGGUUGCCCACACCCAUGUCGAUCCUCUCCUCGUAUCCAACCGAUCAUUGCGGCAAAGUUCUCCUCCAGGCACACUCUACUAGCAUCGAGCACAUACCUGACGAAGGUAAUACCCUCCCAAGCUGCCUGAAGCUCUACCUCAAUGGCAGUCAUGCGAUCAAUGCACCGUCCUCCAGCAGCAACCAGUCUGGAGUUCUGGUCCUGGAUCAUGAAGCCCAUGCCACUACUAGCACCAUCGGCGGUCGCACCACCAUCAGCCAGUAACUACCCAAAGGCCUCCCGGACCGCCACCUCACUCCAGUUGCCCUCUCCGGAAAUAAACAGGUCACAUGCCCUGCAUCCCGCCAACCUCGCCGAUUCAACCGGCAUCGGCAUAUGACGGAGCGGAAACUCGGUCACCCAUUUGUCCUCUAGCACAUCAGUGGAUUGCCUGUCGCCGAUGGCCCAUCUGGUCGCAGAAGGCAUCAACGGAGCCUGAGCAGAAAUCUUCCUCCAUAUAAAGGAACACCUGCACCGUGCCUUAACAUCUUCUGUCGCUGACACGCCACCAUACUUGACUCUAAGGAGGGAACACCACAAACUGUCAGGCUUUAGAAUAAAUCUGGCUACAUGUCUCGUCACUAGUAUCUCUUGUAUCGCCACCAAGGAAUGCACUUCUAAUCCGAGUCGCAAUGCCAUCUUUAGCAAGAGACAAAGUGCGUCGCGAAGAGGCUGUCGAGUUGCUCGAAGGAGUGGAUGGAAUAAGGCCGAAGCCCGGAGAACCAGAACCGAGCCAUUUUACAAAGGGUUGCUGGGAAUGCCUUGCAAAGCUUGGCAUUGGUGACUUCGUGCGGCUAGCAUCACGAGAGCCUUAAAGCUCUCGAGGUGGUCCAGAAGAUCUGAGGUGCCAUUGUACGACUCCACCAAGGACAUCAUGAAGUCAAACCGAAGUUGAGGUUGUUGUGUCUUCGGAGCCUAUCCUUGGAAAUCUGCUGGCCCAUCUUUUUGAUUCUUCAAUUGUGGUCGGCGUCCUACCGAGAUGAAGACUCCAUGCGACGAGGAGGCGAAAGGCUUAGAGCGGAGUUCUCACUGGAAUCGAGGCUUGAAGCAUGUUAUUUUCCAUCCCGACCGGGACUGCUCCGCUGGGUGCACCGACUCUGGGGGGACCGCUUCGAGUCCCAGCCUCGGUAAUGGUAGCUGACCAAUGGUAUGCCGUGUGCUAUCUAUUGAGAGUGGUGUCUAGGGUGACCGAAUUCCGGCUAGAUUGGCUCCAGUUGUGUCGGCACCUGUUGCAGGCUCUAGACCGCCGCAGUUAGCACCUACACCAAUUGGAUGAGCGCAGGUUGAACUGCUCAUUGUCCACAGGCGUGGCAAGUUGUUUCAGCGGAGUAGGAUUCGAGCUCUACAGUGACCCUUGGGUGGUUGGAGCACGACGUUGCAAAGUAUGCGAUACAUCACAGGCACCUUGUGACCUCAAGCCGAUCGUCUCUCCCUUUGAUGGAUAUUGGUGUUGCUGCGGUUUGCGAGGCCCUCUUAGCGCCAUUCUUUUGUCGCUGAAUCCGGACUGUGGUGGGAGAGCACCUUGAUCGACUCUAAGGUCGGCUGGAGGUAAGCUGAGGAGGCCGGAUGACACUUUGAGGGUCGGACUCCUCCGGAGAUUGCUUGCAAAAGAGUCCGCUUGCUGAAGAAUUUUUUGUGGGGAACUCUCCGAUGCCUAAGUCAGAAUAAUGAGGCAACAAAAUGGAAGGUGAAGGGUUUUAGCAGAGAGUGACUCUAUGAGUAAUAUUUCAUGCAUAGUAUGAGUAUAUUGCUUGUUAUUGCGUACCUAAGGUCCCUCGAACUGCCCCUUUGUAGGUCAUCGGCUGAUCGACUGCUCGAACGAGGUCGGAGUCGUCUGAGGUCGGCUUUUUCUGAGGUCAAGAAGGUAGGUCUGGCCUGAGGUCGAGGUACCUCAUACUUUCCCCAUCAAUUCAGAAAUGAGAAUAUAAGAUGCAAUAAGGUCUGUUGCUAGUAGACACUUUGCAUCCUAAACUUGAUUGGUCAUAAAAAUGCGUUCGCCCACGGUAGGCCCAAACUUGAUCUUAAGGAUGCGGUGGGUGAGGAUGGCGAUAAAGAAGGUACUGGCCACCCGGUUGAAGGGAUUAGGUAUCAUGGUGAAGAUAGCCAGCAGUGCGGAAGUAUAUCCAAGUUUUUCGACAAAAGCGUCCAACUUAUAUAAUAUGAAAUUUAGCCCGUGCGAAGGUCACUUGCGUUCCUAAUGGGGAACUUGGCACAUGUAUUGAACGUGCACUACCCUUAUGUUCACCAACAAACCCCUACUUCAAUCUCUAGCAUCUUUUCGUUUUUCCCGGUACGUUUCACUAUCUAGGUUUUAAAUAUAGAGUACCCAACCAACCCAUCCCGCUCUCGCCGAGACAAGCACCAAUGGCCUUUCCAACCUCGGUUCCUCUUCUCAUCCUUCUGCUCACCUUUGGCCUCCUCGGUCGGCCGGGCUCGGCCACCGACUUCGUCAUCUACUCCGAUCCCCCCACCGCUCUCCUGCCUGGCCAAAUGUUCCACUAUGACUUGACUCCCCAAGACAUCCCGUAUGGCCGGGCCUCGCUGGUCAUGAAGCCCGACUGCAACCUGGUCCUUUACUUCAAUGGAAGCAAAACCUGGGCCACCAACACCACCGGCCUGGGUGACAACUGCUACCUCACCAUAGACUCUCACGGCGAAGCCAUCGUUCAGCGCAACAUACACUACCCCGUGUGGCGAAGCAACAAAACGUCCGUCGUGGGGAGCUAUGCCUUCCUCUUGCAAUGGAAUGGAGAACUCGGCAUCUAUGGCCCGGCCAUAUGGUCGAGCUCUAACGAAGGAGAACUGAGCGAUCCAAAGCCUUCCAACAUCACCACGGACUACGUCUUCUAUUCCUACAGCGUGUUGCCCAUAGGAAAGAUACUUGAAUACAAGAAUUACAGGCUGGUCUUGCGUGAUGACUGCAACCUGGUGCUGCUCGACACCAACACCAACACCCAGGAUAUCAAAUGGCAGACCAACACUUACAGUCCCUUGCACGACUGCUUCAUCACCCUCGACCCCAACGGGGAGUUGUUCGUCAAGCAUAACCGCAGGGACAUUCUCUGGAGGUCCAAUGAAACAACUAAUUCGAAUUUCUCCGCACUUGUGCUUCGGUACGACGCAAAGCUUGUUAUCUAUGGCCCUCAGCUGUGGACGACCAAACCAUUGUGGUAGAUGUUUGGGCUUGUACUUUGAGAUGCUGGUGGGCUGUGAGACUAUCUUAGAAUGAAUAACUGUCUGUGGCUUAGUUUGCUCCAGACUGCGCACUUGGUUAUGCUUUGAGCUGCUCUUUAUUUUUACUACUAAGCACUUGUCGUUGUGUUUCAACCUUAAUUAGGAUGGCAUGCAUGGUUGUAAACUUGUGCUUUGAUUUUCUCUUAUCUCAUCUGGACUACCGCGAUCUUCCAUACCAUUGUAGCUUUGGAAGUUCAAGCAACUUUUGGUCAUAUGGAAAAAUUCUUUCUUGAAAGUUUUUCAUAAUCUCAUAUGGAAACAAACGCUAAGAUCGGAUAUCAACCUUCUAAGUUCAUCCAAGGAGAAUGAUGGAUUAACAUGCUGCGAAGCUGCAACGAAAAAAUCAACCCGUUAUGCCACUAUACCUAUGUUGGUACUGGUGAAGUAUACUUUAGGUGAAUGGAAUAUGAUGUAUUUCGAACUGCUGAGAUUCAUGAUGGUGCAUGAAUUAUUUCCCAGUGACCAAUGACAAGAUGCGAUGCCAUAUUUUUCUCGCAGAUAUCUCGAACUUCUAAUAUUUUGGGCAUGCGUUCUGCUUGCCAAGUCCCAACAUGUCCGGCUUAUGGUUGAAAGUAUACUAUAGUUCGGGAUUUGUCAGGUUUGGGCCGUUCAGUUUAUGUUGCAAAUUUGCUGAAUGCACAUCCAGUUAAUUAAUUUUGCUUUUCUUAUGUCUUUCCAUCGAGGGAGCAUCAAUAGGACUAAAGUGUAGUUUUCUUCUUGGCUAGGGGAGGAAGGAUGGAUCAGAGAGAGGAUGGAUUGAUCUUUGAUCUAUCCUCCUGUAUGUUUGGGUGAACAUGAAAG
This 11792-nucleotide long non-coding RNA is filed under the name Phoenix dactylifera (date palm). RNAcentral's name for it is "long non-coding RNA (PDAC_LNC003085)". The record is from RNAcentral. Lineage: Eukaryota; Viridiplantae; Streptophyta; Magnoliopsida; Arecales; Arecaceae.